RNAcentral lists this transfer RNA (91 nucleotides) under Microbacterium oxydans. Its description in RNAcentral is "tRNA-His". Lineage: Bacteria; Bacillati; Actinomycetota; Actinomycetes; Micrococcales; Microbacteriaceae. The record is from RNAcentral.
CGACGAGGUGGGACGGCUUCCCGAUGCGGUCAUGGCCUGCGUCGGCGGGGGCUCCAACGCGAUCGGCAUGUUCGACGCGUUCCUCGACGAC